UACGUAGGGUGCAAGCGUUAAUCGGAAUUACUGGGCGUAAAGCGUGCGCAGGCGGUUUGGUAAGACAGAUGUGAAAUCCCCGGGCUUAACCUGGGAAUUGCAUUUGUGACUGCCCGGCUAGAGUGUGUCAGAGGGGGGUAGAAUUCCACGUGUAGCAGUGAAAUGCGUAGAUAUGUGGGGGAAUACCGAUGGCGAAGGCAGCCCCUGGGAGUAACACUGACGCUCAUGCACGAAAGCGU
Molecule: ribosomal RNA, 239 nt
Filed under: uncultured bacterium
Lineage: Bacteria
Description: partial 16S ribosomal RNA
Rfam family: Bacterial small subunit ribosomal RNA
Source: RNAcentral